RNAcentral lists this ribosomal RNA (518 nucleotides) under uncultured bacterium. RNAcentral describes it as "bacterial SSU rRNA". It matches the Rfam family "Bacterial small subunit ribosomal RNA", at positions 311 to 842 of the family's 1533-position model. The record is from RNAcentral.
CAUUGGGACUGAGACACGGCCCAGACUCCUACGGGAGGCAGCAGUGGGGAAUAUUGCGCAAUGGGGGGAACCCUGACGCAGCAACGCCGCGUGCAGGAAGAAGGUCUUCGGAUUGUAAACUGUUGUCGCAGGGGAAGAAGACAGUGACGGUACCCUGUGAGAAAGUCACGGCUAACUACGUGCCAGCAGCCGCGGUAAUACGUAGGUGACAAGCGUUGUCCGGAUUUACUGGGUGUAAAGGGCGCGUAGGCGGAUGUGCAAGUCAGUCGUGAAAUACCGGGGCUCAACCCCGGGGCUGCGAUUGAAACUGCACACCUUGAGUAUCGGAGAGGAAAGCGGAAUUCCUAGUGUAGCGGUGAAAUGCGUAGAUAUUAGGAGGAACACCAGUGGCGAAGGCGGCUUUCUGGACGACAACUGACGCUGAGGCGCGAAAGUGUGGGGAGCAAACAGGAUUAGAUACCCUGGUAGUCCACACCGUAAACGAUGGAUACUAGGUGUAGGAGGUAUCGACCCCUUCU